Molecule: long non-coding RNA, 504 nt
Organism: Bombyx mori (domestic silkworm)
Lineage: Eukaryota; Metazoa; Arthropoda; Insecta; Lepidoptera; Bombycidae
Exons: 2
Source: RefSeq, a predicted model, not a curated record
GUGGUCUUAUUUCAAAUUAUGUAGUAUGGUCCAAUCAUAGCCAACACUAAGAGGUCAAAACGCUGCACUGGGCGUUCAAAAACUGAGUAAAAAACCACCGUAACACCAAGGUUUUGGAAGGAAUAUCUUUUUUUGAUUUCCUAGUAGCCCCUUGUCGCUGUGCACAAUGGAUAUAUAUUGUCGCGAAAGAAAGAGGAGAAGAAAUAUAGAACCCUUAUAAAAAUUCUAGAAUUGUUCAGUGGUGGUGGCAAAUCAAUGCAAAAAAGUAUUAUAAAAACUUUAUAUGUGUGUGUAAAUAUUUUAAACGUAUAUGCUGAAAAGGAUUUGUUUUCUGGGGGAAACGAACACAGCCAUAAAAUAAGCCUAAAUUAAACUGAUUAUAGAAAAAUUCAUUGAUAUAAGAUUACAUUAUAUUUGUAAAAAAGAAACCGCUCAUAUAAAAAUGACUUCUAAAAGACAGCUUUAUAACAAACUGAAUCUGUUUAAAGGUAAUUAAACCUACAU